RNAcentral lists this ribosomal RNA (284 nucleotides) under Segatella copri DSM 18205. Its description in RNAcentral is "Prevotella copri DSM 18205 partial 16S ribosomal RNA". It matches the Rfam family "Bacterial small subunit ribosomal RNA", at positions 493 to 776 of the family's 1533-position model. Lineage: Bacteria; Pseudomonadati; Bacteroidota; Bacteroidia; Bacteroidales; Prevotellaceae. The record is from RNAcentral.
UCUUUUCCUUUUUUGCCCGCCGCCGCGGUAAUACGGAAGGUCCGGGCGUUAUCCGGAUUUAUUGGGUUUAAAGGGAGCGUAGGCCGGAGAUUAAGCGUGUUGUGAAAUGUAGAUGCUCAACAUCUGCACUGCAGCGCGAACUGGUUUCCUUGAGUACGCACAAAGUGGGCGGAAUUCGUGGUGUAGCGGUGAAAUGCUUAGAUAUCACGAAGAACUCCGAUUGCGAAGGCAGCUCACUGGAGCGCAACUGACGCUGAAGCUCGAAAGUGCGGGUAUCGAACAGG